RNAcentral lists this ribosomal RNA (756 nucleotides) under actinomycete 65-4.UGM050509-02. Its description in RNAcentral is "bacterial SSU rRNA". It matches the Rfam family "Bacterial small subunit ribosomal RNA", at positions 578 to 1333 of the family's 1533-position model. The record is from RNAcentral. Lineage: Bacteria; Bacillati; Actinomycetota; Actinomycetes; Actinomycetales.
GUUUGUCGCGUCUGCUGUGAAAUCCCGAGGCUCAACCUCGGGCUUGCAGUGGGUACGGGCAGACUAGAGUGCGGUAGGGGAGAUUGGAAUUCCUGGUGUAGCGGUGGAAUGCGCAGAUAUCAGGAGGAACACCGAUGGCGAAGGCAGAUCUCUGGGCCGUAACUGACGCUGAGGAGCGAAAGCAUGGGGAGCGAACAGGAUUAGAUACCCUGGUAGUCCAUGCCGUAAACGUUGGGCGCUAGAUGUAGGGACCUUUCCACGGUUUCUGUGUCGUAGCUAACGCAUUAAGCGCCCCGCCUGGGGAGUACGGCCGCAAGGCUAAAACUCAAAGGAAUUGACGGGGGCCCGCACAAGCGGCGGAGCAUGCGGAUUAAUUCGAUGCAACGCGAAGAACCUUACCAAGGCUUGACAUACACCGGAAACGGCCAGAGAUGGUCGCCCCCUUGUGGUCGGUGUACAGGUGGUGCAUGGUUGUCGUCAGCUCGUGUCGUGAGAUGUUGGGUUAAGUCCCGCAACGAGCGCAACCCUCGUUCUAUGUUGCCAGCGCGUUAUGGCGGGGACUCAUAGGAGACUGCCGGGGUCAACUCGGAGGAAGGUGGGGAUGACGUCAAAUCAUCAUGCCCCUUAUGUCUUGGGCUUCACGCAUGCUACAAUGGCCGGUACAAAGGGCUGCGAUACCGUAAGGUGGAGCGAAUCCCAAAAAGCCGGUCUCAGUUCGGAUUGAGGUCUGCAACUCGACCUCAUGAAGUCGGAGUC